AAAUAAAUUGAUUUCUGUCAUUCUUUAUCAUUCUGAGAAUUUUUAAAUUCAAUACUAUCUUUUAAGAACCUGAAGUGCCAAGGAAAAAGAAGGUUCCUGAAGAAAGGAGACCUGUUCCUCCAAAAAGGGAAGAAGCACCACCAGCCAAAGGUACACAAUCUUUUUCUUCAAUUUCAGAAAACCUGCUUUCCUAAUCUUUAGGGGGUAGUCUGUUGGUGUUGUAGCAUAAAUAUACAUUGGUUGUUGAUUCUGUUGUAGAUUGAUCUAUGUUUUUUGUUGUCUAUUGUUGAUAAGAGUUUUAAAUCCUAAAACUUAUGUAAUGUUUUUAAAGUACCCCCAGUCCUUAAGAAGGCAGUAACAGAAGAGAAGGUUCAAGUGAUUGUCCCUGUUUCUAAGAAAGAAAAGGCAAUUGCUCCACCCAAAGUGGCUGAGGUCUCUAAGAAAACUGUUACAGAAGAGAAAAGAUUCUUUGCAGAAGAAAAAGUCUCAGUGGCAGUUCCCCAUAGAGUGGAAGUCACCCACCAUGAAGCAGAGGAAGAAUGGGGUUAUGAAGAAGAAGAAGAAAUGGUAUCCGUUGCUGUUUAUAGAGAAGAGGAAAGAGAGGAAGAGGAGGAACAAGUGGAGGUUACAUCAUACGAAGUGAUUGAAGAACCAGAAGAAUAUGUCGUGGAAGAAAAGCUACAUAUUAUUUCUAAAAGGGUGGAAAUGGAACCUGCUGAAGUGCCUGAGAUGCCUCGGAGAGUGGUCCAGAAACAAAAAGUACCUGCUGCUAUUCCUCCAAGAGAGGAGGCUCCUCCUGUAAAAGGUAUAAUCUCCUAUGAAAGAUGCCAAAGCAUCCAUGUCUUUUAA
Molecule: long non-coding RNA, 849 nt
Filed under: Sarcophilus harrisii (Tasmanian devil)
Lineage: Eukaryota; Metazoa; Chordata; Mammalia; Dasyuromorphia; Dasyuridae
Description: lncRNA (ENSSHAG00000023548.1)
Source: RNAcentral